RNAcentral lists this ribosomal RNA (406 nucleotides) under uncultured bacterium. RNAcentral describes it as "partial 16S ribosomal RNA". It matches the Rfam family "Bacterial small subunit ribosomal RNA", at positions 30 to 526 of the family's 1533-position model. The record is from RNAcentral.
AUUGAACGCUGGCGGCAGGCUUAACACAUGCAAGUCGAGCGAGCGGCGGACGGGUGAGUAAUGUAUGGGAACCUGCCUGAUGGAGGGGGAAAACUACUGGAAACGGUAGCUAAUACCGCAUACCAUCAGAUGUGCCCAGAUGGGAUUAGCCAGUAGGUGGGGUAAUGGUUCACCUAGGCGACGAUCCCUAGCUGGUAUGAGAGGAUGACCAGCCAAACUGGAAGUGAGACACGGUCCAGACUCCUACGGGAGGAAGAAGUGGGGAAUAUUGCAAAAGGGGCGCAAGCCUGAUGCAGCAAUGCCGCGUGUGUGAAGAAGGCCUUCGGGUUGUAAAGCACUUUCAGCGAGGAGGCGUUACUCGCAGAAGAAGCACCGGCUAACUCCGUGCCAGCAGCCGCGGUAAUUC